GGGGAAUAUUGGACAAUGGGCGCAAGCCUGAUCCAGCCAUGCCGCGUGAGUGAUGAAGGCCCUAGGGUUGUAAAGCUCUUUCGGCGGGGACGAUAAUGACGGUACCCGCAGAAGAAGCCCCGGCUAACUUCGUGCCAGCAGCCGCGGUAAUACGAAGGGGGCUAGCGUUGUUCGGAAUCACUGGGCGUAAAGCGCACGUAGGCGGAUUGUUAAGUCGGGGGUGAAAUCCCGAGGCUCAACCUCGGAACUGCCUUCGAUACUGGCAAUCUUCGAGUCCGGAAGAGGUGAGUGGAACUCCGAGUGUAGAGGUGAAAUUCGUAGAUAUUCGGAAGGACACCAGUGGCGAAGGCGGCUCACUGGUCCGGUACUGACGCUGAGGUGCGAAAGCGUGGGGAGCAAAC
This 401-nucleotide ribosomal RNA is filed under the name uncultured bacterium. Its description in RNAcentral is "bacterial SSU rRNA". It matches the Rfam family "Bacterial small subunit ribosomal RNA", at positions 356 to 773 of the family's 1533-position model. The record is from RNAcentral.